GAGGACCUGUCGUGGUCUGGUAGAGGACAGUCUCCAGGGGGCAGCCGUGAUGCCUGGGGAGGACCUGUCGUGGUCUGGUAGAGGACAGUCUCCAGGGGGCAGCCGUGAUGCCUGGGGAGGACCUGUCGUGGUCUGGUAGAGGACAGUCUCCAGGGGGGAGCCGUGAUGCCUGGGGAGGACCUGUCGUGGUCUGGUAGAGGACAGUCUCCAGGGGGGAGCCGUGAUGCCUGGGGAGGACCUGUCGUGGUCUGGUUAAGGACAGUCUCCAGGGGGAAGCCGUGAUGCCUGGGGAGGACCUGUCGUGGUCUGGUUGAGGACAGUCUCCAGGGGGCAGCCGUGAUGCCUGGGGAGGACCUGUCGUGGUCUGGUAGAGGACAGUCUCCAGGGGGGAGCCGUGAUGCCUGGGGAGGACCUGCCGUGGUCUGGUUAAGGACAGUCUCCAGGGGGGAGCCGUGAUGCCUGGGGAGAACCUGUCGUGGUCUGGUAGAGGACAGUCUCCAGGGGGGAGCCGUGAUGCCUGGGGAGGACCUGCCGUGGUCUGGUUAAGGACAGUCUCCAGGGGGGAGCCGUGAUGCCUGGGGAGGACCUGUCGUGGUCUGGUAGAGGACAGUCUCCAGGGGGCAGCCGUGAUGCCUGGGGAGGACCUGUCGUGGUCUGGUUGAGGACAGUCUCCAGGGGGGAGCCGUGAUGCCUGGGGAGGAUCUGUCGUGGUCUGGACAGCUCGGUCCUGGGGGGACACUCACAAUUCCUCUCCGGCGUUGGAUUUGCAGGACUGGAGACCACAGCAGCGAUCCACCUCUUGCCCAACCUCUUCAAUGAGGACGGAGUGGCCUUUAUGUCCGUGACAAGAUUUCACCGCUCCCCAUUUCUUUCCUGCGGAAAUCCAUUUCACCGUGAGAGUGAAAUCACGCUGUUUUUUGAAGGGGAGAACAUCCACACCCUAGAGGACGUCCCCAUGAGACUUGGGGCUCUGCUAGGGCUGUAUUUUUGUAUUUUCAGUUACAUUUCCCAAAAAUGUCAGAAAAACACUUCUGUUGUUAAGUUACUGUGUUCUGGGGAUAAGAGAAGUUGGGAUGAAGUUACCAGGGCUGGUCGUAAAGAUGGCAAACUUCCUAACAUAACUAAUUGGUUGUGGGCAAGUGGUUGUUGAACACACACACACUAAAGCAACAAAAAAAAUGCAUUCUGUAUUUAGCAUCAAGUCUACAAUAUUGUUAGUUUAAUGAUUUAUUUUUUAUGUCGUUUUUAUUGUACAUCAUUAUUUUAUUCCCUAAAAAAUUGUAAUGAAAGCACUACACAAAGUAAAUGUAUUAUUUAUUAUGGUCUGACAUGUCUGCAAAAAUGAUGCAAUUUUGUUAUGUGUUUUGUUUGGUAAAUUGUUUUGUAAACAUUAAUUCACAUUUGUGGUGUCACUAAAUAAACAAUGCAUUAUUUAAAUCAA
This is a long non-coding RNA of Salvelinus fontinalis (brook trout), 1441 nucleotides long. RefSeq lists it as uncharacterized. The record is from RefSeq and is a predicted model, not a curated record. NCBI's taxonomy places the organism in Eukaryota, Metazoa, Chordata, Actinopteri, Salmoniformes, Salmonidae. The transcript has 3 exons.